UGAGAUGAGAGUUAUAAAUAGAAGAGAGAGGAAGGGGAGGAAGGAAAAAAGAAGAGAUUUGGGAUGAAGAAGGCUAGGAACAAAAGAAGUAGAGGUUGGAAAUGAGAGAGGUUAAGAUGAGGGUGAUGAUUGUUAUGAUGGUUUUUAGAGAUGAUCCAUUUUUCUAAUGAUGGUGAAGUUAGGAUAGAUUGAUUUAAUAAAUGGGUAGGUCACUUUUAUAU
RNAcentral lists this long non-coding RNA (221 nucleotides) under Physcomitrium patens. Its description in RNAcentral is "long non-coding RNA (PPAT_LNC004731)". The record is from RNAcentral. Lineage: Eukaryota; Viridiplantae; Streptophyta; Bryopsida; Funariales; Funariaceae.